CCUACGGGAGGCAGCAGUGGGGGAUAUUGCACAAUGGGGGGAACCCUGAUGCAGCGACGCCGCGUGAGUGAAGAAGUAAUUCGUUAUGUAAAGCUCUAUCAGCAGGGAAGAAUAAAUGACGGUACCUGAGUAAGAAGCCCCGGCUAACUACGUGCCAGCAGCCGCGGUAAUACGGAGGGGGCAAGCGUUAUCCGGAUUUACGGGGUGUAAAGGGAGCGUAGACGGCGAUGCAAGCCAGAUGUGAAACCCCGCGGCUCAACUGCGGUAGUGCAUUUGGAACUGUAGGGCUGGAGUGCAGGAGAGGAAGGCGGAAUUCCUAGUGUAGCGGUGAAAUGCGUAGAUAUUAGGAGGAACACCAGUGGCGAAGGCGGCUUGCUGGACUGUAACUGACGUUGAGGCUCGAAAGCGUGGGGAGCAAACAGGAUUAGAUACCCCUGUAGUC
RNAcentral lists this ribosomal RNA (442 nucleotides) under uncultured bacterium. RNAcentral's name for it is "partial 16S ribosomal RNA". It matches the Rfam family "Bacterial small subunit ribosomal RNA", at positions 338 to 795 of the family's 1533-position model. The record is from RNAcentral.